UUGAGACAUCCGUUCUCAUAUGAUCACUGAAGUUAAGCAACAUUGAGUCUAGUCAGUAUCUAGAUAGGUGACCACUUGGGAAUACCAAGUGCUGUAAG
This is a non-coding RNA of Acanthosepion pharaonis, 98 nucleotides long. NCBI's taxonomy places the organism in Eukaryota, Metazoa, Mollusca, Cephalopoda, Sepiida, Sepiidae. The record is from the annotation of a GenBank genome assembly.